RNAcentral lists this ribosomal RNA (823 nucleotides) under Xenophyophora sp. 3 MH-2016. RNAcentral describes it as "bacterial SSU rRNA". It matches the Rfam family "Eukaryotic small subunit ribosomal RNA", at positions 1160 to 1677 of the family's 1831-position model. Lineage: Eukaryota; Foraminifera. The record is from RNAcentral.
AAGGGCACCACAAGAACGCGUGGAGCAUGUGGCUUAAUUUGACUCAACGUGAGAAAUCUUACCGGGUCCGGACACACUGAAGAUUGACAGGUUUAUGAAUUUUAAAAUGUUUUGUAUAAAUAUGCUGGACCUUUCAUUAUUAUGUGAUAAGUGGUGCAUGGCCGUUCUUAGUUCGUGGAGUAAUUUGUUUUUCUUAAUUGCAUUCUCGUAUAGGAUUUGAGUUUUAAAUGUGCCUUUGUUUUAGUAUACCGGAAAUUUACAUUUUUAUUUGUUUGUUUGCGGAAUGAUUUUUGGUAUGUAUUGAGUCCUGGAAGCAACGAACGUGAUUAUAUCCUCUUUGUUAUAUUUUUAGAGGGACAGCUAUGAUUUUUUAAAUCAGAUGAAGGUUGUGGAAAAAACAGGUCUGUGAUGCCCUUAGAUGUUCCGGGCUGCACACGUGCUACAAUGAUUAUUGCAGUAAGCAUCUCGUAUAUAAUACGGUGUUAUUUUUGUAUUUAUUACAUUAUAACAUUUGUCCACUUUGUUAAUUUUAUUAACAGAUGAAUCUCUUACGAAAGUUAGUGGGGAAUCAAUUGGAAGUAAUGAUUUUUUAAAUUUUCUUUUGAUUUUUGUAAGUACUUUAUGUUUGUUCUCUUUUCUGGUGUAAUUUUAUUUUUAUUUUUAUUCGGUUUUAGAGAUUUUAACGUGUACUUUUUGUUAAUUCAUGGUGGGACAGAUCAUUGUUUAUUGUUGGUUUCGGUCUUUAUUAGGAAUGCCUUGUACUGGUCUUUGGUUUAACAAACCACCCGGAAUACGUCCCUACCUUUUGUACACACCGCCCGUC